AUAUCAAUAAGCGGAGGAAUAGAUACCAACAGGGAUUGCCUUAGUAACGGCGAGUGAAGCGGCAACAGCUCAAAUUUGAAAUCUGGCCCUCGGGUCCGAAUUGUAAUUUGUAGAGGAUGAUUUUGGUGCGGUAUCUUCCGAGUUCCUUGGAACAGGACGCCUUAGAGGGUGAGAGCCCCGUACGGUUGAAUGCCUAGCCUCUGUAAAUCUCCUUCGACGAGUCGAGUAGUUUGGGAAUGCUGCUCUAAAUGGGAGGUAAAUUUCUUCUAAAGCUAAAUAUUGGCCAGAGACCGAUAGCGCACAAGUAGAGUGAUCGAAAGAUGAAAAGCACUUUGAAAAGAGGGUUAAAUAGCACGUGAAAUUGUUGAAAGGGAAGGAUUUGUGACCAGACUUUUUCUGGGCGGAUCAUCCGGGGUUCUCUCCGGUGCACUUUGCCCAGUAAAGGCCAGCAUCGAUUUUCGGCGGCGGAUAAAAGCAGUGGGAAUGUGGCUCCCUACGGGGAGUGUUAUAGCCCAUUGUAUAAUACGCUGCUGGGGAUCGAGGUACGCGCUUCUGCAAGGAUGCUGGCGUAAUGGUUAUCAAUCACCCGUCUUGAAACACGGACCAAGGAGUCGAACAUUUAUGCGAGUGUUUGGGUGUUAAACCCUCACGCGUAAUGAAAGUGAACGGAGGUGAGAGCCCGUACGGGUGCAUCAUCGACCGAUCCUGAAGUUUUCGGAUGGAUUUGAGUAAGAGCAUAACUGUUCGGACCCGAAAGAUGGUGAACUAUGCGUGGAUAGGGUGAAGCCAGAGGAAACUCUGGUGGAGGCUCGCAGCGGUUCUGACGUGCAAAUCGAUCGUCAAAUCUGCGCAUGGGGGCGAAAGACUAAUCGAACCAUCUAGUAGCUGGUUACCGC
RNAcentral lists this ribosomal RNA (896 nucleotides) under Pestalotiopsis thailandica. RNAcentral describes it as "partial 28S ribosomal RNA". It matches the Rfam family "Eukaryotic large subunit ribosomal RNA", at positions 40 to 961 of the family's 3401-position model. Lineage: Eukaryota; Fungi; Ascomycota; Sordariomycetes; Amphisphaeriales; Sporocadaceae. The record is from RNAcentral.